GUCCUUUUAGCUUAAUGGUAAAGCAUAAAACUUCUAAUUUUAGUAUUUCAGGUUCAAUUCCUGAAAAGGAUU
RNAcentral lists this transfer RNA (72 nucleotides) under Pneumocystis jirovecii. It matches the Rfam family "tRNA". From Rfam's summary of the family: Transfer RNA (tRNA) molecules are approximately 80 nucleotides in length. Their secondary structure includes four short double-helical elements and three loops (D, anti-codon, and T loops). Further hydrogen bonds mediate the characteristic L-shaped molecular structure. tRNAs have two regions of fundamental functional importance: the anti-codon, which is responsible for specific mRNA codon recognition, and the 3' end, to which the tRNAs corresponding amino acid is attached (by aminoacyl-tRNA synthetases). tRNAs cope with the degeneracy of the genetic code in two manners: having more than one tRNA (with a specific anti-codon) for a particular amino acid; and 'wobble' base-pairing, i.e. permitting non-standard base-pairing at the 3rd anti-codon position. Lineage: Eukaryota; Fungi; Ascomycota; Pneumocystomycetes; Pneumocystales; Pneumocystaceae. The record is from Rfam by way of RNAcentral.